Molecule: microRNA precursor, 104 nt
Filed under: Hordeum vulgare
Lineage: Eukaryota; Viridiplantae; Streptophyta; Magnoliopsida; Poales; Poaceae
Description: microRNA MIR1122
Rfam family: MIR1120/MIR1122 microRNA precursor family
Source: RNAcentral
CACGUACUCCCUCCGUUCCAAAAUAAGUGUCUCAACUUUGUACUAACUUGGUACAAAGUUAUACUAAGCUUGAGACAAUUAUUUUGGGACGGAGGGAGUACAUU